GAUGAACGCUGGCGGCGUGCCUAAUACAUGCAAGUCGAGCGAACAGAUAAGGAGCUUGCUCCUUUUACGUUAGCGGCGGACGGGUGAGUAACACGUGGGUAACCUACCUAUAAGACUGGGAUAACUUCGGGAAACCGGAGCUAAUACCGGAUAACAUUUGGAACCGCAUGGUUCUAAAGUGAAAGAUGGUUUUGCUAUCACUUAUAGAUGGACCCGCGCCGUAUUAGCUAGUUGGUAAGGUAACGGCUUACCAAGGCAACGAUACGUAGCCGACCUGAGAGGGUGAUCGGCCACACUGGAACUGAGACACGGUCCAGACUCCUACGGGAGGCAGCAGUAGGGAAUCUUCCGCAAUGGGCGAAAGCCUGACGGAGCAACGCCGCGUGAGUGAUGAAGGGUUUCGGCUCGUAAAACUCUGUUAUUAGGGAAGAACAAAUGUGUAAGUAACUGUGCACGUCUUGACGGUACCUAAUCAGAAAGCCACGGCUAACUACGUG
Molecule: ribosomal RNA, 497 nt
Filed under: uncultured bacterium
Lineage: Bacteria
Description: partial 16S ribosomal RNA
Rfam family: Bacterial small subunit ribosomal RNA
Source: RNAcentral